UUGAACGCUGGCGGCAUGCUUUACACAUGCAAGUCGGACGGCAGCGGGGGCUUCGGCCUGCCGGCGAGUGGCGAACGGGUGAGUAAUACAUCGGAACGUGUCCUAUAGUGGGGGAUAACCCAGCGAAAGUUGGGCUAAUACCGCAUACGUCCUACGGGAGAAAGCGGGGGAUCGCAAGACCUCGCGCUAGUGGAGCGGCCGAUGUCCGAUUAGCUUGUUGGUGAGGUAAAGGCUCACCAAGGCGACGAUCGGUAGCUGGUCUGAGAGGAUGAUCAGCCACACUGGGACUGAGACACGGCCCAGACUCCUACGGGAGGCAGCAGUGGGGAAUUUUGGACAAUGGGGGCAACCCUGAUCCAGCCAUUCCGCGUGAGUGAAGAAGGCCUUCGGGUUGUAAAGCUCUUUCAGCCGGAACGAAACGGUACGCUCUAACAUAGCGUGCUAAUGACGGUACCGGCAGAAGAAGCACCGGCUAACUACGU
This 482-nucleotide ribosomal RNA is filed under the name uncultured bacterium. RNAcentral describes it as "bacterial SSU rRNA". It matches the Rfam family "Bacterial small subunit ribosomal RNA", at positions 30 to 506 of the family's 1533-position model. The record is from RNAcentral.